AGCUCCAAUAGCGUAUAUUUAAGUUGUUGCAGUUAAAAAGCUCGUAGUUGGAUUUCGGGUGUGCCGUCGCGGUCUGCCUCUGGUAUGUACUGCGUUCGGUGCACCUUCCUGCUGGGGACGGGUUCCUGGGCUUCACUGUCUGGGACUCGGAGUCAGCAAAGUGACCUUGAGCAAACAAGAGUGUUCAAAGCAAGCCUACGCUCUGAAUUUUUUAGCAUGGAAUCACAUGAUAGGACUCUGGCCUAUCUUGUUGGUCUGUAGGACCGGAGUAAUGAUUAAGAGGGACAGUCGGGGGCAUUCGUAUUUCAUUGUCAGAGGUGAAAUUCUUGGAUUUAUGAAAGACGAACAUCUGCGAAAGCAUUUGCCAAGGAUGUUUUCA
Molecule: ribosomal RNA, 379 nt
Filed under: uncultured eukaryote
Lineage: Eukaryota
Description: SSU rRNA
Rfam family: Eukaryotic small subunit ribosomal RNA
Source: RNAcentral